GGGUUGUGAGGUUAAGCGACUAAGCGUACACGGUGGAUGCCCUGGCAGUCAGAGGCGAUGAAGGACGUGCUAAUCUGCGAUAAGCGUCGGUAAGGUGAUAUGAACCGUUAUAACCGGCGAUUUCCGAAUGGGGAAACCCAGUGUGUUUCGACACACUAUCAUUAACUGAAUCCAUAGGUUAAUGAGGCGAACCGGGGGAACUGAAACAUCUAAGUACCCCGAGGAAAAGAAAUCAACCGAGAUUCCCCCAGUAGCGGCGAGCGAACGGGGAGCAGCCCAGAGCCUGAAUCAGUGUGUGUGUUAGUGGAAGCGUCUGGAAAGGCGCGCGAUACAGGGUGACAGCCCCGUACACAAAAAUGCACAUGCUGUGAGCUCGAUGAGUAGGGCGGGACACGUGGUAUCCUGUCUGAAUAUGGGGGGACCAUCCUCCAAGGCUAAAUACUCCUGACUGACCGAUAGUGAACCAGUACCGUGAGGGAAAGGCGAAAAGAACCCCGGCGAGGGGAGUGAAAAAGAACCUGAAACCGUGUACGUACAAGCAGUGGGAGCACGCUUAGGCGUGUGACUGCGUACCUUUUGUAUAAUGGGUCAGCGACUUAUAUUCUGUAGCAAGGUUAACCGAAUAGGGGAGCCGAAGGGAAACCGAGUCUUAACUGGGCGUUAAGUUGCAGGGUAUAGACCCGAAACCCGGUGAUCUAGCCAUGGGCAGGUUGAAGGUUGGGUAACACUAACUGGAGGACCGAACCGACUAAUGUUGAAAAAUUAGCGGAUGACUUGUGGCUGGGGGUGAAAGGCCAAUCAAACCGGGAGAUAGCUGGUUCUCCCCGAAAGCUAUUUAGGUAGCGCCUCGUGAAUUCAUCUCCGGGGGUAGAGCACUGUUUCGGCAAGGGGGUCAUCCCGACUUACCAACCCGAUGCAAACUGCGAAUACCGGAGAAUGUUAUCACGGGAGACACACGGCGGGUGCUAACGUCCGUCGUGAAGAGGGAAACAACCCAGACCGCCAGCUAAGGUCCCAAAGUCAUGGUUAAGUGGGAAACGAUGUGGGAAGGCCCAGACAGCCAGGAUGUUGGCUUAGAAGCAGCCAUCAUUUAAAGAAAGCGUAAUAGCUCACUGGUCGAGUCGGCCUGCGCGGAAGAUGUAACGGGGCUAAACCAUGCACCGAAGCUGCGGCAGCGACGCUGAUGCGUUGUUGGGUAGGGGAGCGUUCUGUAAGCCUGCGAAGGUGUGCUGUGAGGCAUGCUGGAGGUAUCAGAAGUGCGAAUGCUGACAUAAGUAACGAUAAAGCGGGUGAAAAGCCCGCUCGCCGGAAGACCAAGGGUUCCUGUCCAACGUUAAUCGGGGCAGGGUGAGUCGACCCCUAAGGCGAGGCCGAAAGGCGUAGUCGAUGGGAAACAGGUUAAUAUUCCUGUACUUGGUGUUACUGCGAAGGGGGGACGGAGAAGGCUAUGUUGGCCGGGCGACGGUUGUCCCGGUUUAAGCGUGUAGGCUGGUUUUCCAGGCAAAUCCGGAAAAUCAAGGCUGAGGCGUGAUGACGAGGCACUACGGUGCUGAAGCAACAAAUGCCCUGCUUCCAGGAAAAGCCUCUAAGCAUCAGGUAACAUCAAAUCGUACCCCAAACCGACACAGGUGGUCAGGUAGAGAAUACCAAGGCGCUUGAGAGAACUCGGGUGAAGGAACUAGGCAAAAUGGUGCCGUAACUUCGGGAGAAGGCACGCUGAUAUGUAGGUGAAGUCCCUCGCGGAUGGAGCUGAAAUCAGUCGAAGAUACCAGCUGGCUGCAACUGUUUAUUAAAAACACAGCACUGUGCAAACACGAAAGUGGACGUAUACGGUGUGACGCCUGCCCGGUGCCGGAAGGUUAAUUGAUGGGGUUAGCGCAAGCGAAGCUCUUGAUCGAAGCCCCGGUAAACGGCGGCCGUAACUAUAACGGUCCUAAGGUAGCGAAAUUCCUUGUCGGGUAAGUUCCGACCUGCACGAAUGGCGUAAUGAUGGCCAGGCUGUCUCCACCCGAGACUCAGUGAAAUUGAACUCGCUGUGAAGAUGCAGUGUACCCGCGGCAAGACGGAAAGACCCCGUGAACCUUUACUAUAGCUUGACACUGAACAUUGAGCCUUGAUGUGUAGGAUAGGUGGGAGGCUUAGAAGUGUGGACGCCAGUCUGCAUGGAGCCGACCUUGAAAUACCACCCUUUAAUGUUUGAUGUUCUAACGUUGACCCGUAAUCCGGGUUGCGGACAGUGUCUGGUGGGUAGUUUGACUGGGGCGGUCUCCUCCUAAAGAGUAACGGAGGAGCACGAAGGUUGGCUAAUCCUGGUCGGACAUCAGGAGGUUAGUGCAAUGGCAUAAGCCAGCUUGACUGCGAGCGUGACGGCGCGAGCAGGUGCGAAAGCAGGUCAUAGUGAUCCGGUGGUUCUGAAUGGAAGGGCCAUCGCUCAACGGAUAAAAGGUACUCCGGGGAUAACAGGCUGAUACCGCCCAAGAGUUCAUAUCGACGGCGGUGUUUGGCACCUCGAUGUCGGCUCAUCACAUCCUGGGGCUGAAGUAGGUCCCAAGGGUAUGGCUGUUCGCCAUUUAAAGUGGUACGCGAGCUGGGUUUAGAACGUCGUGAGACAGUUCGGUCCCUAUCUGCCGUGGGCGCUGGAGAACUGAGGGGGGCUGCUCCUAGUACGAGAGGACCGGAGUGGACGCAUCACUGGUGUUCGGGUUGUCAUGCCAAUGGCACUGCCCGGUAGCUAAAUGCGGAAGAGAUAAGUGCUGAAAGCAUCUAAGCACGAAACUUGCCCCGAGAUGAGUUCUCCCUGAC
This 2802-nucleotide ribosomal RNA is filed under the name Escherichia coli. RNAcentral describes it as "bacterial LSU rRNA". It matches the Rfam family "Bacterial large subunit ribosomal RNA". The record is from RNAcentral. Lineage: Bacteria; Pseudomonadati; Pseudomonadota; Gammaproteobacteria; Enterobacterales; Enterobacteriaceae.